AGUUCUUAGACCACUAAAUUCUAAAGACAUCGAUCACUUCACAUGCAAGCAAACCCCACAUACCCACUAAUUAAUACAACUUAAAUUUACUCAGCCUUCUCCACCGGCUCUUCCUUGACAACUUUCUCCUCGGCAGCAUCAGCAGCUGGCUUCUCUUCCUCAACAGCUUCAGGCUUCUCUUCUUCCUUAACCACUACCUCUUCUUUAGGAUCUUCAGCCGCUGGUUCCGAUACCGGCUCCGGGGCAAUUGGUUCGGCAGAAGGAGCCUCAGCAGAGUCGUCAAUAUUCAAUUUCUCCUUAGUCUCCUCUACAAGUUCUGGCUCAGCAGUCUUCUCUACUGUUGGUUCUUCUGCUUCUUCUUUGGCCACAACAUCUUCCUUCGCCUCCUCCACCACCUUCACCUCCUUUGUCUCAACCUCAACUGGGGUGGUUUCAUCAGCUUCUGCAGCCUCAGCCUUAGGAACUUCACCAGAAGCCACAACAGUCUCUGCCUCCUUUGGCUCUUCUGCAACAGCCUCUGCCUCAGCUGCGCAUGCUGCUACUUCUGUCACUACUUCUUGUGCCUUAAUUGGUUCCUCAUGAGUUGUGUCCUCCACAGGGAGGGCUGUCUUUGCUGAUACAACCUGCAAGAUUAUUAUAUAUUUAUAGUACUCUCUAAUGUUAAUUAACACUUAAUUAAAGGAUCAAAAUCUCAAUUAGUUAUUACAUUUGCAAGAGAGAGCUUGAAUUGAUCAUAAGCACAAAUCUAUGUAAACUCUAGAAAUGAAAGGUGAGUUAAUACCUGAGCAGUGGCCAUGGGAAUUGAAAAGGUGAGGAAGAAAUUGAAGUAAAAAACAAGAAGACUGAUCAAAGAUAGGCAAACUUAAGAGUAAGAAAUGAAAAGAACAGAAGUCAAUGGUUGCAAUGAAAAAAUAUGAUCAAUUGGGAUUGGUUUAUAUAGAGGCCUAGAGGCCUUCUCUCACUGCCUUAGGUCGAUGCAUGAGACAGAGGGCCCAUGGGGUGGUGGAACUUGGGGAAUCUUGGGAUUUGACACCUCAUCUCUCUCUCUCUCUCUCUCUCUCUCUCUCUCUCUACAUUCAAGGGAUUGGGUAAUAAUGUUACACAAAAAGUUUUUGGAUCGAUCUUAGGUUUAAAGAAAAUGUCUAAAUUAAUUAAUGGCUAGUUGAAAAUUUGUAAUCUUUGGAUUGGAGGGGUAUCAAAUAAUGGAGGAGGCCAUAUUAUUUUUCCAUGCAAGCCAUCAUUCUUCUUUUGGUUAUGUGUGCUCCUGUGCUUUGUGCAGUCGGGCUUGCAGGGUUACAUUACCAUCCUGUCCACUCAUAUGCAUCUUCAAAUCUUAAUUAAGUAAUUACUAAUUACUUAAUUACAACUGGUUUUGCCUCUCAUCAUCAUUGCCCUUUUUCUGUUCCUAUGUCAAUUUCUACCAUGCAUGUUACUAUUCGAUCUACUUCAGCGUAUAGGGGUAGGGUAAAUAUUAUUUGGCAUUUUGCUUCCUAUUUCAAUUAAAUUCUUGCAAGAAAAUGAACCCUUUUUUCCCUUGAAUUAUUGACUAUAUACACCCUUGCAUUGCAUGCCAAGACAUUGUAGUUAUUAUUAGGCAUAUUUACCUCUUUUUUUAUAACUAUUUUAUGCAUCAGUCUUAAGUCUCUUCUCUAAAAUUUAAAAAUAACAGUAUCGUAGAUAAUAAAAGAUUAGACGAGCAUAACUAUACACCAAGAAUCAGUCAUCAAACUACCAAAGCAACCUCAACUUUCUUUUUAUAACAUAACAAUAUCGAGAGUAAUAAAAGAUUAAACAAGCAUAACUAUAUACAUCAGGGAUCAAUCAUCGAAUUACCAAAGCAACCUACCAUCUCUUCCCACAAAGCAAUUAGAGGGAACCUAGCUCCCAAUUGAAUGCCUCCCUCCCUCCCUCCCAAAACCUAGAAUUUAACAAGUAGACAAAUUGUGAAGAAUCAUGCUUAUUGCGUAACAUCAACGUCCAAGUCACUAAAAGAUACAAAACGUUAGGCCGGCGUUAGAUUAUGGGACCCUAACAACCAAUGGCCACAAUUUGCUUCUCAGAAUUGAAUAAAAUUCUGACGUGGAUCACAUCCUGAUAUGUUCCAUCACCUUGUCCCUCCUCUACACCAAGUGUGACCCGAAGCUAGCUGGUGGACCCCAAUUAUUAGGCGACAAAUUUUGAACUCUCAAGACCAAUUGUGACCUAACUUUCCCUAGCCUCCUUGGCUGAAUUGGAACACAGUCAUACAUGAUGCUCCUAUACGUAAUCAGCUCAAUUUGUCUUACAACAUUUAGGUGCCUCCACUAUUUAACGAACUAACAUUCAAUUUAGUAUAAAACCCCAAUUUUAACAUACUAAAAUUCUUAAUACGAUAUAUCAAAAGUUUUACACACACGUGAAUGACUAACAUGAACAUUCACGUGUACAAGUAAAAUUUUUAUUCAUUGUAUAUGGAGGUUAUAAAUGUGAUCUCUAUUCAUCCAUGCUAAAGUUUUCACUAAUAUUCAUGACAUUCUUUGUGUCAUUUGACUCAAAAACCAAGUGGGACAGUAAAAAUAUUCUUUCGAGUUAAAAAUCCAAGAACAAAUCUACCCCGUGAUCCAUGCAAUUGAAACUCCGUACGCUGGCAGGCGAUCAUGGCUUUGGGAUUUGCUUUGUAAACAUUUGCAACCAUGAUUGAAUAUCCUACCGUUAACAAAGUCCUACGUGCCGUUUCAUUCAGACUUUCAUGAGUUUGAGAUCCUUGUUAGGGCAAAGAGCCCUACACAAAAAAGGGUACCCUCCUCCCUCCUCCCUCCUCCCUCCUCCCUCCUCCAACUUUUCCAAGCUGUCAUGUAUGGACGGAUGACUUUUUAGCCUUUAGGUAGGUUUUUCAGUUUGGGCGGUGGGGUGGCCCACCAAAGCGGAGCCCGCAAAAAAUUCCCAGUACCUCUACUGUAUCCUAGUGCCAAUGAGGUCACGACACGUGGCAAACACUUUGCCGACUACGUGGUGGGAUGUGGCUCUCUGUCAGCAUUGGACAUGAUUUGGUACUACUUUAGGGUUCAACCCCAAUUCGGGGGGUCCAUGUGAUAAAUCAUGAAUAAUGAAUAUGUGACAGGUUGGGGGUCAUGAAAAGCUUUCGAUUUGGAUCUGAAUGCUUAAUUUUGUUCAUAUAUAAAUAGCAGCAGUGAUUUUGAAUACGCAAUUUUAUUCUUUGCACUGCAAUCCAAAUUGCUUUGGAUCCACCAGCCUCUGCAACUUGUGGACAAAUCUAGAGAAAAAUGGGGGUGUUUUUUUUAUGAGGAAAAAGAAAUUACACGGACAUAGACUCAUGGGGCACGCAGUCCCGAAGAGUUCAAGGUAAAAGGAGAAAAUUGGGGUUGUUCUACAUGUUUCUGUCACUUGGUAUUUAUAUAUAUUAUGUUCUCAUCAUCAAAAGAAGAAAAAAAUAGAGUUGGUCUUGUGCACUUGGUGUUAAGAAUUUAAGCCAAUUCUCAUGUAUUGAAAUAUGAAAUGUAGAAAAGGAACAGGAAAAUCAACAAGUCAAUAUAAUUAAUCCCACAAGAAAGUUAGGUUUGUUUGGUUCAUUCUCAACUAGGAUAUGUUCAUGGAGUUACCAUGGAGAUGGAGCUACCCCUAAUUUUUACUGUAAAGGAGACGAGGAAUAUUACCAUCACUUUUGGAUUGAUGCAUAGUCUAUUUUUUAUGUAUAAUAUUUUAUAUAGUAAGAGUUUAUAUAAGAUCAUCUUAUUUCUACGCAAUACACCAAUGAUUGAAAUCAUUAUUCAUACAAAAAAUAAAUAAAUUAUUUAGUCAUUUAAUUAUCCACAAUUUUGUUUCAGUUUUGUUUAAUGAACUGUGUUCUUUUUCACAGUUUAUAUAACUUCGGAUCACAUAUAACUUUUUUUUACAAUAAGGACAUACUUAAAAUAUAAAACUGAAUCUGUUAUUCAUAUUCUUAGGGACUGUCCCAAGGCUAUGAUGGUAUAUAAUUCUGUUUUAAAUUUACACUCUUCUCCUCAUUUCUUCCUCUCUGAGCUAAAACCUUGGUUCUUAGGCAAUCUUCUCUCUAAGGUUAAAGGCCGUGAUGGUAUUGAAUGGAAUGUUAUUUUUGCCAUUACAUGUUGGUAUAUAUGGAAUUGUCGUAACAAGAAGAUUUUUAAUCUUGAAGUGGAUAUGCCUUUUAAUCUCAGGAAAACCAUUUUUACUGCGGUUGUUGACUGGGUUAAAGCAGCUAAUGGCUUUGGCGAGAAACUUAACAGAAUACAUAUUUUUUUGGCUUGGGAACCUCCUACAAUUGGCCAACUUAAGCUGAAUGUGGAUGGUUCUAGAAGAGCUGCAACUAAUAUUAUUGGAGCAUGAGGUGUUAUUCGGGACUCCUCAGGUGACUGGAUUGCCGGUUUUGCAGUGAAUUUGAGCCAAGGUCAUAUCUUGGAGGCUGAUGUUUAGAGUCUAUAUUUUGGUCUAAAGCUUGUUGUUGAGAAAGGAAAAAGAAUUGUGUUGUGGAUUGUUUGGCAAAUUGGAGUUAUAAUAUGGACCUGGAAAUUUGCUUCUUUGAUGAGGCUCUUGUUUGGGUUAGCUCUCUGUUGGUGGAUGACUUGCUUGGUUUUGCUAGGCCUCGACUCAUGCGCGGUGUUUAGUUAUUUUUUUGGGGGUUUCCCCCCUAUUUCACCAAAAAAUCACUACUACAAAAAACAAAAUAGACUACGGUAAUCUACCUUCGUUGUGAUGCUUUGAAAACCGUCGUUAAAUUGACCGCCAUCUUUUGGAGUAUCAAACUAUGACGGCUUUUUACCGUCGUUGUUUUGAUAUAAAGACGAUGGUCUUUUAUUAAAAACCGUCAUUGUUUACGGGUAAAGCCGACAGUUUAUAAAAAACCGUCGUUAUUUAUGGGUAAAGACGACAGUAUUUUCUUAAAAUCGUCGUCAUUUAUGGGCAAAGACGACAGUAUUUUCUUAAAACCGUCAUCAUUUAUGAGUAAAGACGUCGAUAUUUUGUUAAAAACGCCAUUCAUUGUAUAUAAAUGUAACACCCCGACCCCGAAUUUAACCCUUAUUUAAUUAUUUAAUUAUUUAAGGGCAUUUUGGUCAUAUUUUUAACCAGAGACAGUUUGGGACAGUGAUUAGUAUUUUUGGAUAGGUCGUACUGAGACGAGUUCAUAGACACGUAGUGGGCUCGAAUCGGAGUUGUAACGAGAGAGAUAUGGUCAAAAGAAGCCCAGUGGCACAAUCGUAAAUAUUUCGAAAUGGGAUUUUUUAUAAAAAUCUGGUUUUCUCUCUCUCUCUCUCUCUCUCUCUCUCCCGCGACCUCUCCCUCUCUCCCGUCAGCUCUCCCUCUCUCUCUCCUCGUAACUCCGGCCACCGGCCACGGCUGUGGACGGAGCCGGUACCAAAAUGACCGGGGCGUCGUCCUCUUCCAGCCCCAGCCGUCUCCCGCCUCCAGCCGCCGCGGUUUCGCCAGAAAAUGAAGGAGAAGAGGCCGGCGUCGUCCGAUCUUCGCCGCCGUCGAUCUCCCUCCUCCGGCCACCAAAUCCGACGAGCAAGGUAUGAUUUCUCACCUAUUUUUCAUGCUCUAGCUGCCAGUUGUGGAUAUUAAAUGCGUUUUUAUGCAGGUUGAAAUUUUAGGAAAUGUCCAAUUUAUAGGGGAGACUCUGCCAAAAUUUCGGUAGGAAGUCUCGGUCUUUAGUGAUUGGGUCUGACAUCGGAGUGAUGUCAGGAAUUCCAAAGGGUUCGUCUCGGGUUUUGAGAAAAUUCGGGGCGGGUCCUUAAAGUUGGUAUCAGAGCUCUAGGUUCAAUUCCCUGUGGACCCUGCACUUUAUGUGCAUCCUUAAAUUGUGGGGAUCAAAAUGGGUUCCAUCUCGGAAUGGUACAUUUGCGACGUUGAGGACGUCACAAAAGUCAAAUUAUUUCACAGAGGAAAGAUACAUAGGCCGCCGGAGCAUAGGAAGGGCUGGAGCUUUACCACAGACAGUGGUUGUUUCAGAAGUUCCGGAAGAUUGCGAAUAGAAGCCGAAGGUUUUGCAUAGGGUAACACCUGUACUUAGGGUACAGUUGGAUGUUCCUAUGACAAAGUUGUUCAUGUGUCCGCAUAAGCGGGGGGAUAUGGAGUUGAUCAACCUGCUUCUAGGGAUCCUCCAUUGCCUGAACAUGUUGCUAAUUUUCAACUGUGUGCCUAGAGCACCGAGUCGAAGCUACUAAGAGCACAACCUUUCUCUAGGAGGAGCAACUCCUUGACAUUGGAUCAAGGGAUCCAAGAUCUGAAAGGUGGCGUUAGAAUAAUCGAAAUCACAAGUGUCUCUUACAGAAAGAGGCUCGUGUGUGGUAGGAAUACUGUGGUCAAGUCUAAGGACGAGACCCAGAUGGAUUAAGAAAUCCUACCUAUGGAGAUGGAGAGAGUACUUUGGGGUCUCAUCUCACGUGAGCACGUUUGAGUAGAGAUCUUUCAUUGGAAUCAGAAAUGGAUCAUGGUCGAGAGAGAUCGACGAUGAUUACAAUUCGGUAAAAAUGAUCCUUUCUGACAUUUCUCUCAAAGAAUCAUGUUGGCAAAUUAAAGGGAAAAGUAGUGGAGUUGGGUGGAACCGUACUUCAUUCGCGUAGGCUUGAAUGCCGCGAUUGACAGGAGUGGAACAUUAGGGUUCUUCCUCCUUGCUCUCUCACGUGAGCUCGCCAUAGUUAGAGAAUGAGACUUCUCUUUCUCUGCUUGCUUAGCUAGAGCUUUUGGCUUGGUUGCCAACACGGUUAUGGAGAAAGAACUUGGGAACCCGAGUUGUAGAUGCGGGCCCCAUGCUCACAACCCUUCGAGUGACAGGUAGGAAAUUUCGAGGACGAAAUUUUUAUAAGGGGGGUAGAUUGUAACACCCCGACCCCGAAUUUAACCCUUAUUUAAUUAUUUAAUUAUUUAAGGGCAUUUUGGUCAUAUUUUUAACCGGAGAGAGUUUGGGGCAGUGACUAGUAUUUUUGGAUAGGUCGUACUGAGACGAGUUCAUAGACACGUAGUGGGCUCGAAUCGGAGUUGUAACGAGAGAGAUAUGGUCAAAAGAAGCCCAGUGGCACAAUCGUAAAUAUUUCAAAAUGAGAUUUUUUAUAAAAAUCGGGUUUUCUCUCUCUCUCUCUCUCUCUCUCUCUCUCCCGCGACCUCUCCCUCUCUCCCGUCAGCUCUCCCUCUCUCUCUCCUCGCAACUCCGGCCACCGGCCACGGCUGUGGACGGGGCCGGUACCAAAAUGACCGGGGCGUCGUCCUCUUCCAGCCCCAGCCGUCUCCCGCCUCCAGCCGCCGCGGUUUCGCCGGAAAAUAGAGGAGAAGCGGCCGGCGUCGUCCGAUCUUCGCCGCCGUCGAUCUCCCUCCUCCGGCCACCAAAUUCGACGAGCAAGGUAUGGUUUCUCACCUAUUUUUCAUGCUCUAGCUGCCAGUUGUGGAUAUUAAAUGCGUUUUUAUGCAGGUUGAAAUUUUGGAAAAUGUCCAAUUUAUAGGGGAGACUCUGUCGAAAUUUCGGCAGGAAGUCUCGGUCUUUAGUGAUUGGGUCUGACAUCGGAGUGAUGUCAGGAAUUCCAAAGGGUUCGUCUCGGGUUUUGAGAAAAUUCGGGGCGGGUCCUUAAAAUAAAUAUGACAGUAUUAUGUUAAAAAUGGUCAUUGAUUAUAUGUACAAACGACGAUUUUUCCAAUAAAACCAUCGUUUUAUUAUCUUUAAAUCUGUCGUCUAAUAAGUUCCCAACCU
This 7696-nucleotide long non-coding RNA is filed under the name Prunus persica (peach). RNAcentral describes it as "long non-coding RNA (PPER_LNC003810)". The record is from RNAcentral. Lineage: Eukaryota; Viridiplantae; Streptophyta; Magnoliopsida; Rosales; Rosaceae.